Topomyia yanbarensis is the source of this 1743-nucleotide long non-coding RNA. RefSeq lists it as uncharacterized. Lineage: Eukaryota; Metazoa; Arthropoda; Insecta; Diptera; Culicidae. The transcript has 5 exons. The record is from RefSeq and is a predicted model, not a curated record.
CGUUAAUGUUUCGCCUUUCCGCUGGCAGCUGACGACCGUCAGUAGGAUUGUGCAUCUACCAGUGCCCCUUGCAACAUGCGGUCGCAUGCUGCAGCAACGAUUUGUGGUGAAGCUUGAGCGGAUGAUUCAGAAUUUCCAUUUUCUGUGUCCGCAUCCCAUGUUUGUAUCCUGGGAGCUGUACCGAAUACUAUUUCACCAAGUGCGUCACCAACUAGUGGAUCGCCAACCAAAUCGGUGGAACACACGAGACGUCCGUCCAAAGAUAUUUGCUAAUCGUCGUCAUCGGACCAAGUUGGUUCACAAAAGAAGGUGUUAUAAUCGAAUUAAAUAAAAAAAUGUGUUCCAGACACGUCUAGAAGACGUUUCUAAGCUAUUGAUACCCCCGCAAAUCACCUUUGAAGCCAGUUCCACAACAUCUUCCCUGAUAUCAGACGCGUUUACAUAGCUAGGACGAAACCAGAGACAACAAAGGCCCUUAACUAUAACUUGAACACGACAAAGCAGCAUCGAGCCACAACGAUGACCGCCUCUCGCUGUUCGACAUCUUGGAUCUUGAGCACGCGUCAUAAGCUCAACGGUUCAGGCAUCGAUUAACUUCGAAUGUAUCGAAAUUUGUUGGCAUUACUCGUGUCAUCGGUGAGCUGCGGUUCGAGGAAGAUAAAAAUGAUGGACCAGUGAAUAGUGAAGACUUACGCACGCUUGUUACUACUGGGCCAUCAAGGAGCCAACCGCAGUAAGGAUGUGCAAGAAGUGAAAUAGUCGCGGGGAUCCCUCUGGAUUCCACAUUGUGAAUCUCCGUAAAGUUAUCAUGCACGGCAAUUGAACUCUCAGAGAGGUCGUAUUGGAAUUCAACUCGUGCGGUGUGAUCAUGUAGGGUUUCAUUCCUGCCUAGGCAGAUAUACGAUUAAUGUGAUGCUAUGCAGACAACCAUGUGUACUAAAGAAGCUCAUCAAGGAUAUGAACUAGGACCCGUCUAUAAGGUUUCGACGAAACAUAUCAACACUCUGGAAAAGUUGUGGAAGGAAAACGUGGAUACAAUUUGGAGAAAUACACCAUUGAUAGAAAGUCAUCAUCCUAUUUUAUGGCUAUCAGCAUUACAAUAUUAUCGAUCCUCUGGUGAAGCUCAAAGCAGAUAAUGACAUAUACUCUUAUAAAGGAGCGACUUGAAGUUAGUGUAUAGUGAUGAGUUGAGGUUGCUAUACAGGCGAACUGCACAGACUUAGGAACUGUAUGGGUUAUACCAUUCAAGGUCCCUAUAUUUACGGACAUCACCAGGAACUGAUCGACUGCCAUUCACAUUCAGCUGUGUAUUUUAUGUAGAAGUGCAUGACUCAAAAAAAUAAAUGUGAUUUUUUUCGGCAUCAUUAUCGUCGAUUUGGUUUAAAUCAAUAAGACUGUCAACAUAUUGAGGUUUGGUUCGGACUUUAUCAAAUCUACGGAAUUUCGUUCGGCAAUCCAGGUCCCGUCAAUAGCACGAUAAACUGCUAAAGAAACUAUAUCCUCCGUAAUCACGACCCCUUCAGACACAUUUGGCCAAAACUAGCUAAGGCAGAUUAUCAACGGUCGGGAUGUUUAAGAACAUAUCGAAUAAAUUUCUGCAGAUAAUACAGCAGUAACAGACGUUGCAGUGGUCAAUCAAGCCAAGCGUAUUAAGCCGUAGACCGCGAAAUUGGCCUCACAUCGAGGCAACAGUUUCUCUCUACAGCUUUGGUAACCGGUAGUCCCCGGAAUCAAUGUUAUAGU